UACGGAGGAUCCAAGCGUUAUCCGGAUUUAUUGGGUUUAAAGGGUGCGUAGGCGGCCUAUUAAGUCAGGGGUGAAAGACGGUGGCUCAACCAUCGCAGUGCCUUUGAUACUGAUGGGCUUGAUUGCAGCUGAGGUAGGCGGAAUGUGACAAGUAGCGGUGAAAUGCAUAGAUAUGUCACAGAACACCGAUUGCGAAGGCAGCUUACUAAAGUGUAAAUGACGCUGAGGCACGAAAGCGUGGGGAUCAAACAGG
RNAcentral lists this ribosomal RNA (253 nucleotides) under uncultured bacterium. Its description in RNAcentral is "partial 16S ribosomal RNA". It matches the Rfam family "Bacterial small subunit ribosomal RNA", at positions 524 to 776 of the family's 1533-position model. RNAcentral also lists the same sequence under 2 other names. The record is from RNAcentral.